This 352-nucleotide unclassified non-coding RNA is filed under the name soil metagenome. RNAcentral's name for it is "partial contains 5.8S ribosomal RNA, internal transcribed spacer 2, and large subunit ribosomal RNA". The stretch from base 1 to 120 matches the Rfam family "5.8S ribosomal RNA", at positions 35 to 154 of the family's 154-position model. The record is from RNAcentral.
GAUGAAGAACGCAGCGAAAUGCGAUACGUAAUGUGAAUUGCAGAAUUCAGUGAAUCAUCGAGUCUUUGAACGCACAUUGCGCCCCCUGGUAUUCCGGGGGGCAUGCCUGUUCGAGCGUCAUUACAACCCUCAGGCCCCCGGGCCUGGCGUUGGGGAUCGGCGGAGCCCCCCGUGGGCACACGCCGUCCCCCAAAUGCAGUGGCGGUCCCGCCGCAGCUUCCAUCGCGUAGUAGCUAACACCUCGCGACUGGAGAGCGGCGCGGCCACGCCGUAAAACACCCAACUCUUCUGAAGUUGACCUCGAAUCAGGUAGGAAUACCCGCUGAACUUAAGCAUAUCAAUAAGCGGAGGA